RNAcentral lists this ribosomal RNA (430 nucleotides) under uncultured bacterium. RNAcentral describes it as "bacterial SSU rRNA". It matches the Rfam family "Bacterial small subunit ribosomal RNA", at positions 355 to 776 of the family's 1533-position model. The record is from RNAcentral.
UGAGGAAUUUUGCGCAAUGGGGGAAACCCUGACGCAGCAACGCCGCGUGAGGGAAGAAGGCUUUCGGGUCGUAAAGCUCUGUCAAGAGGGAAGAAAGUGGGAGAUGGUAAUACUGUUUUCUAUUGACGGUACCUCUGAAGGAAGCACCGGCUAACUCCGUGCCAGCAGCCGCGGUAAUACGGGGGGUGCAAGCGUUAUUCGGAUUUAUUGGGUGUAAAGGGCAGGUAGGUGUUCUAUCAAGUUAGAAGUGAAAUCCUAAGGCUUAACCUUAGAACUGCUUCUAAAACUGAUGGAAUUGAGGACAGAAGAGGAAAGCGGAAUUCCCGGUGUAAGGGUGAAAUCUGUAGAGAUCGGGAGGAACACCAGUGGCGAAGGCGGCUUUCUGGUCUGUCCCUGACGCUAAACUGCGAAAGCUAGGGGAGCAAACAGG